GACGAACGCUGGCGGCGUGCUUAACACAUGCAAGUCGAACGGAAAUGCCCUGCUUUUGUGGGGUUCUCGAUUGGCGAACGGGGGAGUAACACGUGAGUAACCUGCCCUUGACUUUGGGAUAACUUCAGGAAAAUGGGGCUCAUACCGGAUAGGAGCUCCUGCUGCAUGGUGGGCGUUGGAAAGUUUCGGCGGUUGGGGCUGGACUAGCGGCUUAUCAGCUUGUUGGUCGGGUAGUUGCUUACAAAGGCUUCGACGGGUAGCCGGCCUGGGAGGGUGAACUGCCACAUUGGGACUGAGAUACGGACCAGAAUCCUACGGGAGGCAGCAGUGGGGAAUAUUGCGCAAUGGGCGGAAGCGUGAGGCAGCAACGCCGCGUGUGGGAUGACGGCCUACGGGUUGUAAACCGCUUUCGCCUGUGACGAAGCGUGAGUGACGGUAAUGGGUAAAGAAGCACCGGCUAACUACGUG
Molecule: ribosomal RNA, 468 nt
Filed under: uncultured bacterium
Lineage: Bacteria
Description: partial 16S ribosomal RNA
Rfam family: Bacterial small subunit ribosomal RNA
Source: RNAcentral